This is a long non-coding RNA of Ictalurus punctatus (channel catfish), 356 nucleotides long. The record is from Ensembl. NCBI's taxonomy places the organism in Eukaryota, Metazoa, Chordata, Actinopteri, Siluriformes, Ictaluridae.
CAGGGGACGGGAGACGGAACAGGUGACGGGUCACGCAGUUCGGGACCGGUUCAGUGGAAAUACUGAAUCAGAUCUGAUUAUUUUUUCCAGUGUGCUUUAAAAGUUUUAGGAGGGGAACAUGACCCUGGAGUGCUGUCUCAUUUCCCACUCGAACUUAUGCUGCUUUGUGGAAAGUGCCUGUGUGUGAUGAGAAAACCCGUCAUUAUGGGGUGUGUGUGUGUCUGUGUGUGUCUGUGUGUGUCUGUGUGUGUGUGUGUGUCUGUGAGACAUCAUCUAAUGUUUACCGUUUAUGGGACAGCUGGACUGUGACUUCCUGUCUGUGUGUGUGUGAUUGUGGCGUAGAGACUGGAAGUGGG